RNAcentral lists this ribosomal RNA (402 nucleotides) under uncultured bacterium. Its description in RNAcentral is "bacterial SSU rRNA". It matches the Rfam family "Bacterial small subunit ribosomal RNA", at positions 355 to 774 of the family's 1533-position model. The record is from RNAcentral.
UCGGGAAUUUUGGGCAAUGGGCGAAAGCCUGACCCAGCAACGCCGCGUGAGGGAUGAAGUAUUUCGGUAUGUAAACCUCGAAAGAAUGGGAAGAAUAAAUGACGGUACCAUUUAUAAGCUCCGGCUAACUACGUGCCAGCAGCCGCGGUAAUACGUAGGGAGCAAGCGUUGUUCGGAUUUACUGGGCGUAAAGGGCGCGUAGGCGGCGCGGUAAGUCACUUGUUAAAUCUCUGAGCUUAACUCAGAACGGCCAAGUGAUACUGCUGUGCUAGAGUGCGGAAGAGGCAACCGGAAUUCUUGGUGUAGCGGUGAAAUGCGUAGAUAUCAAGAGGAACACCUGAGGCGAAGGCGGGUUGCUGGGCCGACACUGACGCUGAUGCGCGAAAGCCAGGGGAGCAAACG